CCUACGGGUGGCUGCAGUGGGGAAUAUUGCGCAAUGGGCGAAAGCCUGACGCAGCGACGCCGCGUGAGGGACGAAGGCCUUCGGGUUGUAAACCUCUUUCAGCGGGGACGAAGCGAAAGUGACGGUACCCGCAGAAGAAGCACCGGCUAACUACGUGCCAGCAGCCGCGGUAAUACGUAGGGUGCAAGCAUUGUCCGGAUUUAUUGGGCGUAAAGAGCUCGUAGGCGGCUUGUCACGUCGGGUGUGAAAACUCGGGGCUUAACCCCGAGCCUGCACUCGAUACGGGCUAGCUAGAGUGUUGCAGGGGAGACUGGAAUUCCUGGUGUAGCGGUGAAAUGCGCAGAUAUCAGGAGGAACACCGGUGGCGAAGGCGGGUCUCUGGGCAACUACUGACGCUGAGGAGCGAAAGCGUGGGGAGCGAACAGGCUUAGAUACCCCAGUAGUC
This 445-nucleotide ribosomal RNA is filed under the name uncultured Geodermatophilaceae bacterium. RNAcentral describes it as "bacterial SSU rRNA". It matches the Rfam family "Bacterial small subunit ribosomal RNA", at positions 338 to 795 of the family's 1533-position model. Lineage: Bacteria; Bacillati; Actinomycetota; Actinomycetes; Geodermatophilales; Geodermatophilaceae. The record is from RNAcentral.